RNAcentral lists this ribosomal RNA (556 nucleotides) under Hypostomus sp. Xingu. RNAcentral describes it as "partial 16S ribosomal RNA". It matches the Rfam family "Bacterial large subunit ribosomal RNA", at positions 1808 to 2574 of the family's 2925-position model. The record is from RNAcentral. Lineage: Eukaryota; Metazoa; Chordata; Actinopteri; Siluriformes; Loricariidae.
CAAAAACAUCGCCUCCCGCAAAAAUCAACGUAUAGGAGGUCCUGCCUGCCCAGUGACUAUAAGUUAAACGGCCGCGGUAUUUUGACCGUGCAAAGGUAGCGCAAUCACUUGUCUUUUAAAUGAAGACCCGUAUGAAUGGUGGAACGAGGGCUUAACUGUCUCCCCCUUCUAGUCAAUGAAAUUGAUCUACCCGUGCAGAAGCGGGUAUAAUUAUACAAGACGAGAAGACCCUUUGGAGCUUAAGAUAAAAGACCAACUAUAUCAAAAGUCCUAAAAUAAGACUAAACCAAAUAGUACUGGUCCUAAUCUUCGGUUGGGGCGACCACGGGAGAAAACAAAGCUCCCAUGAAGAUUGGGGUAAUUCCCUAAAACCAAGAGAGACAUCUCUAAGACGCAGAACAUCUGACCAUAAAGAUCCGGCUACUUGCCGACCAACGGACCAAGUUACCCUAGGGAUAACAGCGCAAUCCCCUUCCAGAGUCCAUAUCGACAAGGGGGUUUACGACCUCGAUGUUGGAUCAGGACAUCCUAAUGGUGCAGCCGCUAUUAAGGGUUC